This 385-nucleotide ribosomal RNA is filed under the name uncultured archaeon. Its description in RNAcentral is "bacterial SSU rRNA". It matches the Rfam family "Archaeal small subunit ribosomal RNA", at positions 484 to 869 of the family's 1478-position model. The record is from RNAcentral.
UCAAGUGGUCAGGAGGAUUAUUGGGCCUAAAGCAUCCGUAGCCGGCUUUGUUAGUUUUCGGUUAAAUCUAUAUGCUCAACAUAUAGGCUGCCGGAAAUACUGUAAAGCUAGGGAGUGGGAGAGGUAGACGGUACUCCGUAGGAAGGGGUAAAAUCCUUUGAUCUAUGGAUGACCACCUGUGGCGAAGGCGGUCUACCAGAACACGUCCGACGGUGAGGGAUGAAAGCUGGGGGAGCAAACCGGAUUAGAUACCCGGGUAGUCCCAGCUGUAAACUAUGCAAACUCAGUGAUGCAUUGGCUUGUGGCCAGUGCAGUGCCGCAGGGAAGCCGUUAAGUUUGCCGCCUGGGAAGUACGUACGCAAGUAUGAAACUUAAAGGAAUUGGC